Molecule: antisense RNA, 69 nt
Filed under: Amycolatopsis tolypomycina
Lineage: Bacteria; Bacillati; Actinomycetota; Actinomycetes; Pseudonocardiales; Pseudonocardiaceae
Description: ASpks TB sRNA
Rfam family: ASpks TB sRNA
Source: RNAcentral
CUUCACCGACCCCAGCCACAGCGGCUCGGCCCGCUCCUGGCCGUACGUGGCGAGGAUCGCCUGCGCCUC